GCCCCCAUGACAUUCCAUCACGGGCACCUUGGAGGCGGUGGCGCAGGACGCAUACCCCUUCUGGCGGCGGAUCACCUCUCGGACUACCUCCCCCAGGCACGGAUUCUCUGCGGAGGGGAGACAAGGACACUGGGUGAGCAUGUGCAGCAGGGGAGAGAGAACGAGAGAGAACGAGAACCAGACUCAGGACCAGGAUCCUAUCACUUGUAAUCCCUGAGCCUCAAUUUUCUUGUCUGGAAAAUGGUGACACAUUUUGUGGUCCUUCCUGCUACUUCACAGUCUGUAACGAGCCUCAGAGGGAUUGUGAAUGCAAAACAGCUUUCUGCAUUUUAAAGCUUUAGGUGGCUAAUGUGAAUUUUGCUAAUAAGCCUGAUGCAGUAUUUUAAAAUUAUGAGGUUUUUAAAAGAAUCAGAAAAAGACUAAUGAUCAUAGGUGUGGGGGAGGGGAGAGUGCAGACGCGACAGCUUGGUCACAGUCGGGCCUCUGGUUGAAGGGAAGAGGGAUGCUGUUUCUACUGUUCUGGUAACUUUUCCUGUUAGAUCUGAAAUUAUUUCAAAAUUCAUUAUUUAACAACAUUGGUUAAGAAUGGUAUUUCAACAAGGGGUAAAUGGGAGAGAGAGUCCUCUGGCGACAGGAGGUGGCCUGCCUGGGGUUCUGGUGGCAGGACGGAAGACUUCUCAGUCUCCCUGCAGGACAGAAACCUCCAAGGUAAGACAGAGCCAUCUCAAUUGUGAUAUAAUUUAAUUGUCCUUUUUUUGAGCUUACCUCCAAAUUAAUACACUAAGGGGGCCAUGUAAUUUGAUGCUUUUGAAAUUAAAUCAGACCAAGAACUGUCUUCUGUUGACCCAGUAAUGGCAGGAGGACUGGAAGGAGACUGCAGCGCAACAUCUGAAAUGUUUCUGUGCGUCAGACUCACUGAGGGCUCUUGUUAAAAUGCAGGCUCUGAUUCAAAAAGUCUAGGCUGGGCCUGAGCGUCUGCAUUUCUAAUAAGCUCCCAGGUGGGUCAGUGGUGCUGGCUGGAGGGCCACACUGGCAGCUGGAGGGAGGGAUGGGGGAAGAGAGGAGAAAGAACCCAGAUGUUCAUGCAGUCCUGGCUGUUUACAAUCUCGAGAGACCCCACCUAGAACUCUCCAGCUAAGCCUUUUCUGAGUUCCUGACCUAUAGGACCUGUGUAGGAUAGAACAUGUUUAGUGUGGUUUUGAACUGCUGUGUUGGAGCUAAUUUGUUAUGCAGUAAUAGAUAACUGAUACAGGAAGGGGUAGUGUUGCCCUCAUUUUCAGGAAGAGGGAAUCUGAGGCUCAGAAAGUGAUUUAAUGAAGGUGGCACAGCCACUCAGUGGCACAGCUGGAACUGGAACUUCGGCCCCCUGGGUAUGGAGUCCAGCUCUGACCCCUGCAUCCCUCCCAGGUGUCCCCUCCCACACGCACAGCAGACCCACCUUGUUCGCAGUGCUCCCCACUAAAGCCAGGCUGGCACAGGCAGUAGGGCUCCCCUCGAUCUGAGACGUGGCACUGCCCAUGGUGACACUUGAAGGCUGAGCAGGCGUUGGCAGAGUCAUUCUUGUGGUCACACAAGGCCCCUCCGUAGCCCUCGGCACACUUGCACACGUACGAGGUCCCGGUUGCCACGCAUUUCCCCUGGAUGCAGCUGGGGGCAGAGGCGAGGAUGAGGGGAACCAGGCAGUCAGUGCCACUGGAGGCUUCUUCCUCUGUCCACACCAGCCAGGCCCAGGCUCUGUCCAGGGGUCCCGGAGCUGUGGGACCUUAGGCCCUCUCCAUCCCAUGGUCUGCCCUGCGCCAGCCUACUGGCUGAGCAUCACCCAACAACCACUGCCAGCUGUGAGCCUGACGAGGCUGGCUUGUGGCUCUUUUACACCCAGGCGUCAGAACCCACAUAUCCAAGUGGCAAGUCACUGCGUGGAGGAACCUAAGCAUUCGCCAAACAUUUUAACUGCUCUGUCGUCUUAAUGGAUAACAUGAUUAGUCCUGUCACCACCACCACCACUUGCUCUGUGCAGGCACUGGGGUGAGUGCUUUGCACCUGGCAUUGGUCUUAUUUUCUACAACCCCCCUCCUCUGCGGUCCUGUGCAGUAGCUAGUCUUAGCCACAUCUCAUAGAUGGAGAAACUGAUGCCAAAGCCUGUAUUCUUAAUCGCAAGGUAGCAUUCUCUCUACUGGGAUGACAUUCAGAGCAAGGAUUCAUCGUAGACAUAUUCAUUAUAGAGUCACACACGCUCCAGAGCUACCCAGGAAAGUCGGCUCCUUUCUAGCCGCCCUUCACUCCUGAUCCACAAUAUCAUUUGCCAACUGGUUUAGCCAAGCCAAUUACUAGUCACGGCUCUGGUGUUAUUUUUGGCUGACUCAGAUUUCUAAACACUGAGAAUGCUGGAUCUCUUCUAUUUAGCACAAGGCCUGGCACACAGGAGGCCCUCAGUAAAUAUCUGAAUAAAUAAUGAAUGGCGGAGCCGUGAAGUGA
This is a long non-coding RNA of Camelus dromedarius (Arabian camel), 2475 nucleotides long. RefSeq lists it as uncharacterized. The record is from RefSeq and is a predicted model, not a curated record. The transcript is spliced from 2 exons. Lineage: Eukaryota; Metazoa; Chordata; Mammalia; Artiodactyla; Camelidae.